UACGUAGGGGGCUAGCGUUGUCCGGAUUUAUUGGGCGUAAAGAGCGUGUAGGCGGCCAUGUAGGUCCGGUGUGAAAACUCGAGGCUUAACCUCGAGAUGUCAUCGGAAACCAUUUGGCUAGAGUCCGGAAGAGGAGAGUGGAAUUCCUGGUGUAGCGGUGAAAUGCGCAGAUAUCAGGAAGAACACCAAUGGCGAAGGCGAGUCUCUGGACAUUUCCUGACGCUGAGGCACGAAAGCCAGGGGAGCAAACGGG
Molecule: ribosomal RNA, 253 nt
Filed under: uncultured bacterium
Lineage: Bacteria
Description: partial 16S ribosomal RNA
Rfam family: Bacterial small subunit ribosomal RNA
Source: RNAcentral